AGGAGAGAGAGAGAGAGAGAGAGAGAGAGAGAAGACCUGGGUCCCAAUUACUCCAGCAAAAGUCCCAGGAGUGAAUCCGAUUGGCCCUGCCCGGGUCGUGUGCCCAUCCCUGAGCCAACCACUGUAGCUGAGAGAAGGAGUUCUACGAUUGGCCAGCCUAGGUCACAAGAUACACACUCAGCCAAAUAGGAACCCAUUUCCCCUGCAGAGUCUCCUCAACACUCAGCAAAUGUUAGUUGUUCUUUUGUCAUUGUUCACAGAUAAAUGAGGCAGGGUGGGGACUUGUGCUGUGUGCAUGCUCCACCCUGUCCUGGUCACAGGGAGGCUGGGGACCUCACUCCCCUUUGUGCUAUGGCACUAUCAACAACUGCCGUGAUGACUGACCCCCAGAGCCACCUACACUCUGUCCCCUGGUAGAUGCUCCUCACCCAUCUGCCCUGGGCAUGGCUGGGGACAGCAGUCUCAUUGUCAGCCCUGAGCACUGGCUUCGGCUGCUGUAAGGACAGGGGCUGGUGAGUGAGGCCAGGGGCAAAGGUGCCUGACCACAGGCAGAAAGUACCGUGGAGGCACUUGCUGUGGGCAGCACAGCCCUGGCUGCUCCCGCCCGGCCUGCAGAUGGCCCUGAAACUGGGCUCAGAUGCACGGGGACCACAGGCCCCUGGAGAACCCCGUCCAAGGCUCAGGCUGAGGGUCUGGCCUGAGGGACAGCGGGAGGACCAGCUGUGCCAAGCCCAGCAAGACACCACAGAGGGAGCCCGAGAUCUCUACCAGAAGAGGGGCUGCCAGCCCUGGGGCCACAGCCUCCAGCCCCCCAGUGCUGGGUGCCUCCCCCACACUCCUGCCCAGGUUUAAGCUCUGUGAGCCUCGGCUUUAGCCUCCACAUCAUGGGGCUGCUCUG
RNAcentral lists this long non-coding RNA (898 nucleotides) under Marmota monax (woodchuck). Lineage: Eukaryota; Metazoa; Chordata; Mammalia; Rodentia; Sciuridae. The record is from RNAcentral.